RNAcentral lists this unclassified non-coding RNA (345 nucleotides) under soil metagenome. RNAcentral describes it as "partial contains 5.8S ribosomal RNA, internal transcribed spacer 2, and large subunit ribosomal RNA". The stretch from base 1 to 120 matches the Rfam family "5.8S ribosomal RNA", at positions 35 to 154 of the family's 154-position model. The record is from RNAcentral.
GAUGAAGAACGUAGCGAAAUGCGAUAACUAAUGUGAAUUGCAGAAUUCAGUGAAUCAUCGAGUCUUUGAACGCACAUUGCGCCCCCUGGUAUUCCGGGGGGCAUGCCUGUCCGAGCGUCAUUGCUGCCCUCAGGCACGGCUUGUGUGUUGGGCCUCCGUCCUCCUCCCGGGGGACGGGCCCGAAAGGCAGCGGCGGCACCGCGUCCGGUCCUCGAGCGUAUGGGGCUUCGUCACCCGCUCUUGUAGGCCCGGUCGGCGCUUGCCGACACAUCAAUCUUUUUUCCAGGUUGACCUCGGAUCAGGUAGGGAUACCCGCUGAACUUAAGCAUAUCAAUAAGCGGAGGA